UCGCCUGUUUAUCAAAAACAUAGUUUUAUGAUAUUUAUAUAAAAUAACUUCUGCCCAGUGUCUAAAAAGAUAAAUGGCCGCAGUACCUUGACUGUGCUAAGGUAGCAUAAUCAAUUGGCUUUUAAUUGAAGUCUAGAAUGAAUGGGAAAAUGGAAUUUAGCUGUCUUAAUUUUUUUAAUUAAAAUUUAUUUAUAAGGUGAAAAUACCUUAAAAUUAAAUAAAGACGAGAAGACCCUAUGAAUUUUUAAAUGUAUUUUUGUUGGGGCGACAGUUUAAAAAAUAAUCUUAAAUUUAUAAUAUAUAACGAAUUUUUUAAUAAAAAUUAAAUUACCUUAGGGAUAACAGCAUUAUUAUUAAAAUAGUUUGUGACCUCGAUGUUGGACUAGGAACUAAAAGGCUAACCGUCUUUAUAGAUUUGUUCUGUUCGAACAAUUUAAUCCUACGUGAUCUGAGUUCAGACCGGA
This 464-nucleotide ribosomal RNA is filed under the name Gyraulus sp. clade B TS-2018. RNAcentral describes it as "partial 16S ribosomal RNA". It matches the Rfam family "Bacterial large subunit ribosomal RNA", at positions 1796 to 2620 of the family's 2925-position model. The record is from RNAcentral. Lineage: Eukaryota; Metazoa; Mollusca; Gastropoda; Planorbidae.